Culex quinquefasciatus (southern house mosquito) is the source of this 1136-nucleotide long non-coding RNA. RefSeq lists it as uncharacterized. The record is from RefSeq and is a predicted model, not a curated record. The transcript has 3 exons. Lineage: Eukaryota; Metazoa; Arthropoda; Insecta; Diptera; Culicidae.
UUCAGUUUGUCUUGUUUGGACUUGAAUGCAACCGAAUCGAACCAGUUGUUGUUGAUGUUGGGCUUCGGAAGGAUUUUGACCGGUUGAUAGAUAUUCAGAAUUCUGUCUUCGUGGCGGUGGAGGAGGAGGACGAGACGCAUGAAUCCGGCGGGCCAGGUCUUCGUGGCGGAAGACAGGACCGGGAGGAACCGAGCUUAUGGAGGAUAUGGUUCAUUCCAAAGGAGGAGGAGGAUGAAUCACCGAAUGUCAAAAGUUCUACCCAAGGUAAGAGAAAAAGGGGUACAGAAUAAUCAUCUCGUGGCGGUGUUUCUGAUCCACCGGAUUUUUUAAUCAAUAGAACUGUUUCUUCAAGUCAUUGAAAUGAUGGAAGAGGCGCAUUUCAAAGUAUCGGGAGUGAGCUUGGAAGACCGGAAGUAUGAGGGCUAAUAUUGGGUGUUAUGAUUAUUGGACUUCAGAAUUGUAUAAUAAAAAACUCUAACAUUUGACUAAUCAAAAAUUAACUCCUUAAGGAAAUUUUUAGUAUCUCUGAUUUAACCCUUUGAGGCCCAGAACUUUUUAUACAGUUUUUAUUACCUAAAAAGUAGUUAACAUUGAAAAAACGGAUUUUUGGAAUGGUGUAACCAAACAUAUUCCAAUCUGAUCCUGCUAACAACCCAGCGUCUCCGUGUUGUUCCACGCAGCUUGUUGACCGGAAGCUGUAACGACCGCAAAAACACCUGCUCCAGAAGUUCGUAAACCGACGUUGUCCCGUACUCCGGUGGCCAUCAAUCCAUGGGACAUAAACGGUGGCGCCGCACCCCGCCGUAUUUGCGGCUAGUCGAGGAGCAAUAGUCCUUCUUGAUCAAGAUGCUGCCCCGCACGCUGGCGUCGGCUCGAAAAGAUGGCUGACAAAAUCCGGACCCAGAAGACAACGCCAAAAAAUUCCGGCCAAGAUGCCGAGCGACGAGGAGAACUGGAAGACCAACCGGAAGACGACACCAAGAUGUACGUGAAGAUCCGCGACACAACAAGUAUAAUGAAAUAAUUAAUUUUUUACUGUGGGGAAAUGUGCAAAUUACAUGAAAAAAUAAAAUAAAUUAAAAAUAAACAAUCAUCUAUUUUUUAACUGCAACAUAACCUAAAAACCUGAAAAAACA